This 466-nucleotide ribosomal RNA is filed under the name uncultured bacterium. RNAcentral describes it as "partial 16S ribosomal RNA". It matches the Rfam family "Bacterial small subunit ribosomal RNA", at positions 28 to 505 of the family's 1533-position model. The record is from RNAcentral.
GACGAACGCUGGCGGCGUGCUUAACACAUGCAAGUCGAACGGAAAGGCCCUGCUUUUGUGGGGUGCUCGAGUGGCGAACGGGUGAGUAACACGUGAGUAACCUGCCCUUGACUUUGGGAUAACUUCAGGAAACUGGGGCUAAUACCGGAUAGGAGCUCCUGCUGCAUGGUGGGGGUUGGAAAGUUUCGGCGGUUGGGGAUGGACUCGCGGCUUAUCAGCUUGUUGGUGGGGUAGUGGCUUACCAAGGCUUUGACGGGUAGCCGGCCUGAGAGGGUGACCGGCCACAUGGGGACUGAGAUACGGCACAGACGCCUACGGGAGGCAGCAGUGGGGAAUAUUGCACAAUGGGCGGAAGCCUGAUGCAGCAACGCCGCGUGCGGGAUGACGGCCUUCGGGUUGUAAACCGCUUUCGCCUGUGACGAAGCGUGAGUGACGGUAAUGGGUAAAGAAGCACCGGCUAACUACG